RNAcentral lists this ribosomal RNA (464 nucleotides) under uncultured Desulfuromonas sp. Its description in RNAcentral is "bacterial SSU rRNA". It matches the Rfam family "Bacterial small subunit ribosomal RNA", at positions 920 to 1382 of the family's 1533-position model. Lineage: Bacteria; Pseudomonadati; Thermodesulfobacteriota; Desulfuromonadia; Desulfuromonadales; Desulfuromonadaceae. The record is from RNAcentral.
CCCGCACAAGCGGUGGAGCAUGUAGUUUAAUUCGACGCAACGCGAAGAACCUUACCUGGGUUUGACAUCCCGAUCGUACUCUAUGGAAACAUAGGGGUCAGUUCGGCUGGAUCGGUGACAGGUGCUGCAUGGCUGUCGUCAGCUCGUGUCGUGAGAUGUUGGGUUAAGUCCCGCAACGAGCGCAACCCUUGUCCUUAGUUGCCACCAUUCAGUUGGGCACUCUAAGGAGACUGCCGGUGUUAAACCGGAGGAAGGUGGGAUGACGUCAAAGUCCUCAUGGCCCUUAUAUCCAGGGCUACACACGUGCUACAAUGGCCGGUACAAAGGGCAGCCACUCAGCGAUGAGGCGCUAAUCCCAUAAAGCCGGUCUCAGUCCGGAUCGCAGUCUGCAACUCGACUGCGUGAAGUUGGAAUCGCUAGUAAUCGUAGAUCAGCAUGCUACGGUGAAUACGUUCCCGGGCCUU